This 351-nucleotide ribosomal RNA is filed under the name uncultured bacterium. Its description in RNAcentral is "bacterial SSU rRNA". It matches the Rfam family "Bacterial small subunit ribosomal RNA", at positions 8 to 350 of the family's 1533-position model. The record is from RNAcentral.
AGAGUUUGAUCAUGGCUCAGGAUGAACGCUAGCUACAGGCUUAACACAUGCAAGUCGAGGGGCAGCAUUCCAGUUUGCUUGCAAACUGGAGAUGGCGACCGGCGCACGGGUGAGUAACACGUAUCCAACCUGCCGAUAACUCGGGGAUAGCCUUUCGAAAGAAAGAUUAAUACCCGAUGGCAUAAUAGAACCGCAUGGUUUGAUUAUUAAAGAAUUUCGGUUAUCGAUGGGGAUGCGUUCCAUUAGGCAGUUGGUGGGGUAACGGCCACCAAACCUUCGAUGGAUAGGGGUUCUGAGAGGAAGGUCCCCCACAUUGGAACUGAGACACGGUCCAAACUCCUACGGGAGGCA